AAUCAACGCUGGCGGCGUGCCUAACACAUGCAAGUCGUGCGCGAAAGCCCCGCAAGGGGUGAGUAGAGCGGCGAACGGGUGAGUAACGCGUGGGUGACCUGCCCUCGAGUGGGGGAUAACAUCCCGAAAGGGGUGCUAAUACCGCAUGACAUCCCUCGGUUGAAGACGAGGCGAUUAAAGCCGGGGACCGCAAGGCCUGGCGCUCGAGGAGGGGCCCGCGUCCGAUUAGCUAGUUGGUAGGGUAACGGCCUACCAAGGCGACGAUCGGUAGCCGGCC
This 277-nucleotide ribosomal RNA is filed under the name uncultured bacterium. Its description in RNAcentral is "partial 16S ribosomal RNA". It matches the Rfam family "Bacterial small subunit ribosomal RNA", at positions 28 to 292 of the family's 1533-position model. The record is from RNAcentral.